UGAGAAUGGGGCCUAGAUUGGAUCCGAUUGGAUUUGUGGUGUUGCAGGAACAACCUGGAUGUAAAGGAAUUGGCGAUUCAGUUUGUAUGUGUGAGGCUCAUUCCUUUUGUGAAAAAGGGCUUAUCUAUUUUUAAAGAACGGUUUCUGGCUUCAUUGCCAACUUCUCGGCAUGCAAGUGCUGACUUCACUCGCCCCUUAUUUACUGCAGUGGCAUUUUAUUUGUGUGCCAAAAAGCAUAAGCUCAAGGUACACAAGCUUAAGUUGAUUGAGCUCUGUGGGGCAUCUGAACCUGAAUUCUCUAAUGUAAGGGAGCCUUCCCACCAUGCACAUUAUUGUGUAGCCCACUAUAGUUUUCAUUCUUCUACUCAUCAUAU
Juglans microcarpa x Juglans regia is the source of this 374-nucleotide long non-coding RNA. RefSeq lists it as uncharacterized. The transcript has 3 exons. Lineage: Eukaryota; Viridiplantae; Streptophyta; Magnoliopsida; Fagales; Juglandaceae. The record is from RefSeq and is a predicted model, not a curated record.